Molecule: ribosomal RNA, 254 nt
Filed under: uncultured bacterium
Lineage: Bacteria
Description: partial 16S ribosomal RNA
Rfam family: Bacterial small subunit ribosomal RNA
Source: RNAcentral
CGACGGGUGAGUAACGCGUGGAAAACCUGCCGUAUACUGGGGGAUAACACUUAGAAAUAGGUGCUAAUACCGCAUAAGCGCACAGCUUCGCAUGAAGCGGUGUGAAAAACUCUGGUGGUAUACGAUGGUUCCGCGUCUGAUUAGCUAGUUGGUGGGGUAAUGGCCUACCAAGGCAACGAUCAGUAGCCGGCCUGAGAGGGUGAACGGCCACAUUGGGACUGAGACACGGCCCAAACUCCUACGGAAGGCAGCAG